GACGAACGCUGGCGGCGUGCUUAACACAUGCAAGUCGUACGGUAAGGCCCUUUCGGGGGUACACGAGUGGCGAACGGGUGAGUAACACGUGAGUAACCUGCCCACAACUUUGGGAUAACGCUAGGAAACUGGUGCUAAUACUGGAUAUGUGCUCCUGCUGCAUGGUGGGGGUUGGAAAGCUCCGGCGGUUGUGGAUGGACUCGCGGCCUAUCAGCUUGUUGGUGGGGUAGUGGCCUGCCAAGGCGGCGACGGGUAGCCGGCCUGAGAGGGUGACCGGCCACAUUGGGACUGAGAUACGGCCCAGACUCCUACGGGAGGCAGCAGUGGGGAAUAUUGCACAAUGGGCGCAAGCCUGAUGCAGCAACGCCGCGUGCGGGAUGACGGCCUUCGGGUUGUAAACCGCUUUCAGCAGGGACGAAGCUUUUUGUGACGGUACCUGCAGAAGAAGCACCGGCUAACUACGU
RNAcentral lists this ribosomal RNA (464 nucleotides) under uncultured bacterium. RNAcentral's name for it is "partial 16S ribosomal RNA". It matches the Rfam family "Bacterial small subunit ribosomal RNA", at positions 28 to 506 of the family's 1533-position model. The record is from RNAcentral.